This is a long non-coding RNA of Eriocheir sinensis (Chinese mitten crab), 516 nucleotides long. RefSeq lists it as uncharacterized. Lineage: Eukaryota; Metazoa; Arthropoda; Malacostraca; Decapoda; Varunidae. The transcript is spliced from 4 exons. The record is from RefSeq and is a predicted model, not a curated record.
UGUUCACAUCGCCUGCGAUGCUAUGCUGCUAAAGGCUGCGACCACCGCUAGAUCCCGCUACGCCCCAUGAUUUAUCUCAACAUAGCUUCCCUCCAGCAGACGUACUAGAGCGCUUGGGAAAUCGGCUGUAAUAAGAAAGACGAACAUGAAUAUACUCAUGGUGGGCUUGAGGGGCGGCGGGCGAGGAGCUGCCGGACACAAAGGAUUGGCUUCAUGGAAUAUUCACACCUCGAUGCGCACGGUGAUCUUUGGAGCCAGUGGUGGAAGGUGGUAAUGAGAGUGGAAGUGGGACGAGGAGGACUUGCCCGGCGCCACAAACAGGACCCGAGGAGGAAAAAACAACAACGGGAGGACAAAUUGGACGAAGUCGGGACGGAGGCGAACGAGAAAUUGAAGUGGAAGGGAAAGGAAAGAGAAGAAAAGAAGCGGAAGUCAGAUAUGGGAUGGUUGAGUGGUCAGAGUGCGGGUAUGGUGUCAUGGAGGACCAGGGUGCAACCAGCCAACCAGGAGUCCAGA